CUGGGGGCGCGCGAAGAUGCUGAUGAAGCCUUUGGCGAACUUGAACUCCGUUCGAUUUUCGUCGCCUAGGACGACGGAGUUGUGAUUGACACGUCUCACUGGGGAGAUGGACGAAGUCCAUCGCGUUGGCCAAGUUGCAGCGCUCUUGAAUUCUUGGCUGAGGAUUUUGCCCCCCCCUUCCCAUUGCAUACAAAUACUGUGGCAUAGAAGAUUGCUAGCUGCGUUCCAGCGAGAGGUAUCCAGGUACGCGUAUGGUGAGCGAUGCAUACCAACACGCGCGAGCAUUACGGCAUGCAGUAAAAUGCAGUUUCGAGAUUAACGGGUAUUUCAGGAUUAUCUUCUAGCUCUUUUUUUCCUUAUGAGAUGUGCUUGGCUUGUGUUUUGCUGAGCCAAUAAAGGGAGCUUUUAUGUGGUGCGCAAGCGAACCAGGCCACGCGGGGGUGCAGGUCUGAUAGCUGUAGCUCCGUUCCUCUAAAUGAUGUCACCACUCUGCGAGUCUGCGGUGCUUGCAGGUGUGGAGGCUGGGCUUGAAGUCUGCAGGUAUUAUAUUGACAGCGCCUCUCACGCGCAUUUGUUUGUAAUCCCGUUGGCUGGUUAUGUCUUUGGAUGAAGAGUGUAUGCUGCUCUAGGUACAGGCCAUCUGUGACGGCCUUCGCUAGAAUAGUACCUGAAAGUUUUUUUGAUUUUUUACCUACGCUAAUGCUACUGCUUUCACUGUGCGGCAUCGUUUUUUUUUUCCGGUUGCUGUGGAGGUAGAGGGUUCUUGUACUGCUCGGAGCCGUUGCCUUUCUUUUGUAUAAGACAUAGAGACCAACUUCGGUUCACUGGCGGGCAAGACUUUUUUGCCUGCUGUCAUUGUGUAGUUUAAUGCAAUCAUCCACUUUUCGUCUUGUUAACUAGCUGGUCUCCCUAAGGCUAGUAACAGUACGGACAGCCUGUAAGGAAUUCCUGUUAUCGGGAAAUUCGCAAUUCCGUCAUGACGCUCGUCUCCCUGCGCGUUGACUCCCCGGAAGUGCCGACUUGACGGGCUGUGUGGAACAGGACGAUUCAUCCUCAAAUGACAGUGGCAGAUUGUUUUUCCCGCCAUCUUCUCUCUUCUCAGUAAUAAAGCACUUGAACUGCUGUUUAAGCUCAUUCUUGAGAGAGGUCUCAACUCUAUACGGUGAGAUCGAGUUGUCCUCACUGCUUCGAUGUUCUUGCGCGCGCGCUAUGAAAGAAGCUUCCAUGGAUCUUUUGUUCUACGUUCUGUAACGCUAGUCGUUGACUACGCUUUCCAAUGCGACGCUAUCAUCGAGUUGCCACGACUGCGAUGAGUCAAAGAAGAGGUGCCUCUUUUUAUAAUUUUGCCUUCUGCGUGGUAUAAUCUCUUGGUGUUUUUAGUGAGUCGGCCCGAGGGCCGUGUGUACAUGCAAGAAGCGCUUCUGAUGGAGUUGUUUCGUUCAUUGGUCACGCAGAACACCGCACUGGAUGCUGUGUGCGCAUUUUAGGCAAGAUUUUUGUUCUUCGUGCGACUCAUGCACUGGCUGUGGUAGGACUGUGCUUUCAUGUUUUAAAGCGGUAGCGUUUCCUUGGACAUCGGACGCUGCUACCAACCCGAGUUUGUGCGGCACCGACAAAGGAAAAGCGCCGCCUCGAGCAUCGCGGUACGUAAGUUGUAUCGGAACAUUUGUACGCAAAAGCUCGAUUUUCUACUGCUGUAUUCCGUGUGAAGAAUUUUCUAGUUCAAGAAAAGAAGUAUAUUCUCUUUUCUGUUAGAGCAGAUCGUAGGCUUGCGAUGCGGAGAACCAGUAGGCCCCGAAGUAGAUGAGCAUCCGCAGCAAGGUAUUUUUACCGAUUUCCGUCAUAUUAUAUGAAGGAGCGCAAGAGCUCUGGUCUUGCGGGCAACGUGUCUGCUUUCGCUCAUGCGCCUCUUGCAUCACUGUUCUUCUAGAUGCUCUGUUCAAGACGUCUUCAGCUCUCGGGCACUUGGCUAUCUGUGUUUUCUUUUUCUGCUUAUGGUGGUGCAAAAUGUAAGCUUUGAACGUCUAAUUUGUGCUCCUUGGAGAUCUUCGAUGCAGGUAGGUCUAAUCAUCUCGCAUGUGUGUUUGCCGAGGUUAUUUUUUUUCCUCGCUCGAUGCUCAGAAAUACCGUAGUCAACAAGCUUUUACGUGCGUCGUUGUGACGGCUACUUUUUCGUUCCAAUGACGCCGGUUUUGCUCGCACCGUAAGCCGUUAUCGUGCGGCUGAUGGUUGUGUCCUAGCUCCUGCUCUUCUAGAUGGGUCCUGAAGUUCUGUUUCUGCGAGCAACCGUUGCUGUUACAGGAAAAUCGUAGCUUCCUGGAUGUAGUAUUGGCCUGCUAUGUUGCAAUGGGUGUCAUUUUAGUGGUGCUUGUGCUCAUUCAUCGCUGAAGUGGUGAUAGUCGGUUUUUCUGUUCUCGAUCGUCAUGUUAUGCGCCGGCGCUGAUGGUGCUCUCUGAUCCACCUUCAGUGGCAAUGUCUCCUUCUCGGAAGUGUUUUCUUUCCUCUCACCACAUCAAGGUCACAAAACCUUUCUCUAGCUCUGGCUGAUGCUGAUAGCUGUUAGCUAUUGCUUCGCCAGCCACUUCUGAAGCUGCUUUUGGAGCAGUACAAGAUUGAUUCGAACGCCUUGCUUUUGCUAAUAUGAUAAGAAAAGGGCUUGUGUGUCUCCCUUGCCAUUCUUAUUGUCUCGUACGAGGGAAAGGCUAGCUACAUUUUUGUCCUUCGGGGUGCAGGACUACUCACUACCUGAGCGCACAGGUUUCUGGACUACUUCAGCCUCGCUAUCGGCCCAGAGGAAAAGGUGAUUGUGUGGUUCUGCUUGUAGCGGUUUGAGAGGAUGCAAGCGCAGAAAGGGAAAAAGAGCAACGAAACAAUGACAUAGAAGAUGGCAUAUCUAUCUGUCGAUGGUGAAAUAACAUAUGCUAUGCAUAUGUAAAAGAGACGUUUUUGUCCAACGAGUGUGUGCUGAACGAGCGUCGUUUCCCGGACUGGAUUUGAGGAAUCUGCGUUUCGCGGAU
This 3017-nucleotide unclassified non-coding RNA is filed under the name Leishmania donovani. RNAcentral's name for it is "gene:unknown". The record is from RNAcentral. Lineage: Eukaryota; Euglenozoa; Kinetoplastea; Trypanosomatida; Trypanosomatidae.